ACUGCCUGAUCCACCGAAACCCGCUCCCAAGAAGGGCGCCAAGAAAGCUCCGUCCAAACCGGCGAGCAAGUCUGGCAAGAAGCGCAAGAGGUCGAGGAAGGAGAGUUACAAAGUGAUGAAGCAGGUUCACCCCGACACCGGCAUCUCCUCCAAGGCCAUGAGCAUCAUGAAUUCAUUCGUGAACGAUAUCUUCGAGCGCAUCGCGGGUGAGGCAUCCCGCCUGGCCCAUUACAACAAGCGGUCCACCAUCAGCUCCCGGGAGAUCCAGCCGUGCGCCUGCUGCUGCCCGGGGAGCUGGCCAAGCACGCCGUGUCCGAAGGGACAAUGGCGGUGACCAAGUACACCAGCUCCAACUGAAGACAAGUUUACUGACAAAACAAACGGGAAAAUCAAAGGAUCUUUUAAGAGCCACUCACGGUUUCAUUAAAAGAAUAUUGCGACAUGGACUUGAGACAGCUGCACCAUAGACCCUGAAAGUGACAUCAGGAAUAUCUUCUCCGCAAGUUACAGUGAGCAUCUGGGUUAAAACUGAUCAACAGCACAAGGAAAAUAUGUGCGAAAGUCUGAGAUGCAUAUUCCCACAUAGCUGUCCAGAACACAGCAUGCAACCGUUUGAAUUUUGUUGAGAAAUCUGUCCGCGACCAAGGCAGUUCAUACUGGAUUGGAAAAUGCAACUAUGGGAGAGUGGCCUCGAAUAUCGUGUUCCAAAUGAAGGCUGGAGUCUUCGAAUGCAUUGAAUGUGGAUGGUACCCUCACUUUGAACAUUGCAGU
Hypanus sabinus (Atlantic stingray) is the source of this 771-nucleotide long non-coding RNA. RefSeq lists it as uncharacterized. The record is from RefSeq and is a predicted model, not a curated record. The transcript is spliced from 5 exons. NCBI's taxonomy places the organism in Eukaryota, Metazoa, Chordata, Chondrichthyes, Myliobatiformes, Dasyatidae.